Molecule: ribosomal RNA, 502 nt
Filed under: uncultured bacterium
Lineage: Bacteria
Description: bacterial SSU rRNA
Rfam family: Bacterial small subunit ribosomal RNA
Source: RNAcentral
GACGAACGCUGGCGGCGUGCUUAACACAUGCAAGUCGAACGGAGUGCCUAUGAUAGAGGUUUCGGCCAAUUGAUUAGGUUACUUAGUGGCGGACUGGUGAGUAACGCGUGAGGAACCUGCCUUUCAGAGGGGGACAACAGGUGGAAACGACUGCUAAUACCGCAUGACGCAUUGAGGGGGCAUCCCUUUGGUGCCAAAGAUUUUAUCGCUGAAAGAUGGCCUCGCGUCUGAUUAGCUAGUUGGUGGGGUAACGGCCCACCAAGGCGACGAUCAGUAGCCGGACUGAGAGGUUGGCCGGCCACAUUGGGACUGAGACACGGCCCAGACUCCUACGGGAGGCAGCAGUGGGGAAUAUUGGGCAAUGGGCGCAAGCCUGACCCAGCAACGCCGCGUGAAGGAAGAAGGCUUCGGGUUGUAAACUUCUUUCUUAGGGACGAAGCAAGUGACGGUACCUAAGGAAUAAGACCACGGCUAACUACGUGCCAGCAGCCGCCGCGGUAAC